UAUUGUCAUUGUUCCCUUCAAAAUGACUCCAAAUCGAAUUGAAGUUCAUCAAUUACUAUAGCCAUCGCAAAAUUGUAGUGGCAUCAAGUGUUUGUCAAAUCAUAGUAGAAACUCAUGCUGCUUUGUUCAAUCAAAGUUGUGGUUUUUUGAUAAUUUUCAUUAUGCUUCCCAAAGGACAUAAGGAUUUUGCUGCUGUUGCUGAUAUCUGACCCUCCACCUCUUCUUUUGACGAGUUUCUGUCCGCCCUCUCACAGUUACAGUUCUAUCUGUUGCAGCUUGUGGGCAGCAAUAGUUGUCGAUUUAUGCCAUCUGGAGCCGAUGAAGAGGGAGUUGUCCUAUCUAUAAAAGCACCUGGGCAAUACUGUAUCUUUCUUGGGAGACUCCUGUAAGAUAAAGUGAAAGACUCCCGUAUCUAAAUUUUCUUUUGUGUUAUCUAUUAUGCAUUGUAGCUGCUAUAGGCCUAUCUUGCAUAUGUUAUGAUAGAAUUAGUUAUAUUUCAUUUAGAAAAUGGGGAGCACCAAAAAAAGAAGGCAAAGGAAGCCUAAGAUAGAGAAGGACCCUAAAAUCCUUAAUCAUUUGUCCUUCAAAGAACAAGGCUUGCCACCAACAAGCCAUCGAGGAGACGAAUGAGAAGAAUGUCACUCGAAAGGAGAAGAUUUUGGAGCUUCUUAAGAAAAACAGAGAUUUGUUCUUUAAUGAGGUAUUUUUAGGGAGUGAAAUUUAAGUGUUUCAGGCACUAUCAUUUUACUGUAUAUCAUUAUGUAUUACCUCUUAAUUGGGGUAUUAUUUUGACGAACUAUGAAAGAAUUCUGUAAUGGUUUAUAGGAUGAGUUUACUGUAUUGAUUGAAACUGCAUGGACGUUGAGAUGAGGCAUCUGCGUGGCAUUGAUGAUGAAAAUGCUCCUACUAGGGAUACAAUGGUUGCUGCUUUAGUAGAAG
Olea europaea var. sylvestris is the source of this 939-nucleotide long non-coding RNA. RefSeq lists it as uncharacterized. The transcript is spliced from 3 exons. The record is from RefSeq and is a predicted model, not a curated record. NCBI's taxonomy places the organism in Eukaryota, Viridiplantae, Streptophyta, Magnoliopsida, Lamiales, Oleaceae.